GUUCUCAUGGUACUGGGGAAAAUAAAACAAUGACUUUACAGCUGAAGGAGAUGAGUUCAGAAAGGACAGGCGUUCUUUCUUAAACUGCUCAGAAGUGGAGGAAGAGAAUUUCAAACUGUCAUCUGAAGCUCCUGCUUACCACCUCAGCCACAGUGAAUCAUCUCAGUGAAAUAACAGAAAGACUCAAGACUGAAAACUUUUCAUUUCCAAUCAAAUGCAGAAAUCUUGAGCAAAUGGAGAGAUACAGCGUGAGCCUUCACAAACUCUUCCUUGUACCUUAAGGCUACUGGAGUACUGGACCAACGCCACUUGCUCACUGUGUACCUUCUUGAAACUAACAAACAAUACAGUGACUGUCAGUAGAUGCUGCCUCCUCAG
Equus caballus (horse) is the source of this 378-nucleotide long non-coding RNA. RefSeq lists it as uncharacterized. NCBI's taxonomy places the organism in Eukaryota, Metazoa, Chordata, Mammalia, Perissodactyla, Equidae. The record is from RefSeq and is a predicted model, not a curated record.